AUUGCCAGACCCUGAAUUGCGUAAUCCCCCCGGAGUUGAAUACUCUACAUACUGCUAGUACAUGCACUCUACUGUUUGUGUACUGUUUACCAUUUUUUCGCGAUGAUCCAAUUACACUUAAUCAGUUCGGCCAUGAGCCAAGGAUUACUCAUGACGUCAAUAGUGUAUGGAUGAAGGUUGCCGUACAUAUGACUACUAUGGACGUUAUUGUAGCUUACACCCCUUGCGCGGUAGCCAAGUGGUUAGGACGUACGAUUCAUAACCAAGAGGCCCCGGUUUCGAUUGUCUCUUAUGGCGCUGCUUCAAACCUCAAGUAGCGACUGGUACUGGAGGGGGAAAUCACGGAUCUUUCGGUGCAUAAUAACCAUGCACAAAUGACCAUAUAAGAUUGUACUAAGGACAGCGCCGUGAUUGUACAUGUGACCGUAUCAGGAUUGUACUAAAGCUCGUACCAUAUUUGUAAAAAUGACCAUACAAUGUCAUGACCGUACUAUGAUUUGUACAACGAUUGUACAACCACUGACAGUACACUGAUCUUGGAUCAUACAAAUCUCACUCCAUUUUGAGCUCACUAUUGAUCAUAGAAAAGGAAAAACAAUAUUCUUCAAACAAUAUAUCUGAUUUUGUUUUUACAAAUACCAGCUUCAAGUACAUAGGAUUUACUUUAGGAAAUGACGAUGGGAGGACUGUGGGUGUUGUCAGGCACGGAGUAUAACGGUUAUCAGUAUAAUCAAUUCAAUUCAUUUAUUGACAUCGACAAUAAGAUGGCAAACUGUCAAGAUUACUUAUCAGUUAAAACUGCUUACCUUGCGAAUAAUAUUAAUGUAGAUAUGUCAUAAAAAGUUCAGAAAUUGUUUUGUGUUCCAAUGACCAUGUGCUUCUACAUAUGUAUCUUAAUGACAAAACUAUGCACACACAAAAAAAACCCAAAACAAUAAACCACAAU
Molecule: long non-coding RNA, 946 nt
Organism: Ostrea edulis (European flat oyster)
Lineage: Eukaryota; Metazoa; Mollusca; Bivalvia; Ostreida; Ostreidae
Exons: 2
Source: RefSeq, a predicted model, not a curated record